This 2902-nucleotide ribosomal RNA is filed under the name Escherichia coli. Its description in RNAcentral is "23S ribosomal RNA". It matches the Rfam family "Bacterial large subunit ribosomal RNA". Lineage: Bacteria; Pseudomonadati; Pseudomonadota; Gammaproteobacteria; Enterobacterales; Enterobacteriaceae. The record is from RNAcentral.
GGUUAAGCGACUAAGCGUACACGGUGGAUGCCCUGGCAGUCAGAGGCGAUGAAGGACGUGCUAAUCUGCGAUAAGCGUCGGUAAGGUGAUAUGAACCGUUAUAACCGGCGAUUUCCGAAUGGGGAAACCCAGUGUGUUUCGACACACUAUCAUUAACUGAAUCCAUAGGUUAAUGAGGCGAACCGGGGGAACUGAAACAUCUAAGUACCCCGAGGAAAAGAAAUCAACCGAGAUUCCCCCAGUAGCGGCGAGCGAACGGGGAGCAGCCCAGAGCCUGAAUCAGUGUGUGUGUUAGUGGAAGCGUCUGGAAAGGCGUGCGAUACAGGGUGACAGCCCCGUACACAAAAAUGCACAUGCUGUGAGCUCGAUGAGUAGGGCGGGACACGUGGUAUCCUGUCUGAAUAUGGGGGGACCAUCCUCCAAGGCUAAAUACUCCUGACUGACCGAUAGUGAACCAGUACCGUGAGGGAAAGGCGAAAAGAACCCCGGCGAGGGGAGUGAAAAAGAACCUGAAACCGUGUACGUACAAGCAGUGGGAGCCUCUUUAUGGGGUGACUGCGUACCUUUUGUAUAAUGGGUCAGCGACUUAUAUUCUGUAGCAAGGUUAACCGAAUAGGGGAGCCGAAGGGAAACCGAGUCUUAACUGGGCGUUAAGUUGCAGGGUAUAGACCCGAAACCCGGUGAUCUAGCCAUGGGCAGGUUGAAGGUUGGGUAACACUAACUGGAGGACCGAACCGACUAAUGUUGAAAAAUUAGCGGAUGACUUGUGGCUGGGGGUGAAAGGCCAAUCAAACCGGGAGAUAGCUGGUUCUCCCCGAAAGCUAUUUAGGUAGCGCCUCGUGAAUUCAUCUCCGGGGGUAGAGCACUGUUUCGGCAAGGGGGUCAUCCCGACUUACCAACCCGAUGCAAACUGCGAAUACCGGAGAAUGUUAUCACGGGAGACACACGGCGGGUGCUAACGUCCGUCGUGAAGAGGGAAACAACCCAGACCGCCAGCUAAGGUCCCAAAGUCAUGGUUAAGUGGGAAACGAUGUGGGAAGGCCCAGACAGCCAGGAUGUUGGCUUAGAAGCAGCCAUCAUUUAAAGAAAGCGUAAUAGCUCACUGGUCGAGUCGGCCUGCGCGGAAGAUGUAACGGGGCUAAACCAUGCACCGAAGCUGCGGCAGCGACACUAUGUGUUGUUGGGUAGGGGAGCGUUCUGUAAGCCUGUGAAGGUGUGCUGUGAGGCAUGCUGGAGGUAUCAGAAGUGCGAAUGCUGACAUAAGUAACGAUAAAGCGGGUGAAAAGCCCGCUCGCCGGAAGACCAAGGGUUCCUGUCCAACGUUAAUCGGGGCAGGGUGAGUCGACCCCUAAGGCGAGGCCGAAAGGCGUAGUCGAUGGGAAACAGGUUAAUAUUCCUGUACUUGGUGUUACUGCGAAGGGGGGACGGAGAAGGCUAUGUUGGCCGGGCGACGGUUGUCCCGGUUUAAGCGUGUAGGCUGGUUUUCCAGGCAAAUCCGGAAAAUCAAGGCUGAGGCGUGAUGACGAGGCACUACGGUGCUGAAGCAACAAAUGCCCUGCUUCCAGGAAAAGCCUCUAAGCAUCAGGUAACAUCAAAUCGUACCCCAAACCGACACAGGUGGUCAGGUAGAGAAUACCAAGGCGCUUGAGAGAACUCGGGUGAAGGAACUAGGCAAAAUGGUGCCGUAACUUCGGGAGAAGGCACGCUGAUAUGUAGGUGAAGCGACUUGCUCGUGGAGCUGAAAUCAGUCGAAGAUACCAGCUGGCUGCAACUGUUUAUUAAAAACACAGCACUGUGCAAACACGAAAGUGGACGUAUACGGUGUGACGCCUGCCCGGUGCCGGAAGGUUAAUUGAUGGGGUCAGCGCAAGCGAAGCUCUUGAUCGAAGCCCCGGUAAACGGCGGCCGUAACUAUAACGGUCCUAAGGUAGCGAAAUUCCUUGUCGGGUAAGUUCCGACCUGCACGAAUGGCGUAAUGAUGGCCAGGCUGUCUCCACCCGAGACUCAGUGAAAUUGAACUCGCUGUGAAGAUGCAGUGUACCCGCGGCAAGACGGAAAGACCCCGUGAACCUUUACUAUAGCUUGACACUGAACAUUGAGCCUUGAUGUGUAGGAUAGGUGGGAGGCUUUGAAGUGUGGACGCCAGUCUGCAUGGAGCCGACCUUGAAAUACCACCCUUUAAUGUUUGAUGUUCUAACGUGGACCCGUUAUCCGGGUUGCGGACAGUGUCUGGUGGGUAGUUUGACUGGGGCGGUCUCCUCCUAAAGAGUAACGGAGGAGCACGAAGGUUGGCUAAUCCUGGUCGGACAUCAGGAGGUUAGUGCAAUGGCAUAAGCCAGCUUGACUGCGAGCGUGACGGCGCGAGCAGGUGCGAAAGCAGGUCAUAGUGAUCCGGUGGUUCUGAAUGGAAGGGCCAUCGCUCAACGGAUAAAAGGUACUCCGGGGAUAACAGGCUGAUACCGCCCAAGAGUUCAUAUCGACGGCGGUGUUUGGCACCUCGAUGUCGGCUCAUCACAUCCUGGGGCUGAAGUAGGUCCCAAGGGUAUGGCUGUUCGCCAUUUAAAGUGGUACGCGAGCUGGGUUUAGAACGUCGUGAGACAGUUCGGUCCCUAUCUGCCGUGGGCGCUGGAGAACUGAGGGGGGCUGCUCCUAGUACGAGAGGACCGGAGUGGACGCAUCACUGGUGUUCGGGUUGUCAUGCCAAUGGCACUGCCCGGUAGCUAAAUGCGGAAGAGAUAAGUGCUGAAAGCAUCUAAGCACGAAACUUGCCCCGAGAUGAGUUCUCCCUGACUCCUUGAGAGUCCUGAAGGAACGUUGAAGACGACGACGUUGAUAGGCCGGGUGUGUAAGCGCAGCGAUGCGUUGAGCUAACCGGUACUAAUGAACCGUGAGGCUUAACCUU